This 387-nucleotide ribosomal RNA is filed under the name Chytridiomycetes sp. RNAcentral describes it as "partial small subunit ribosomal RNA". It matches the Rfam family "Eukaryotic small subunit ribosomal RNA", at positions 582 to 975 of the family's 1831-position model. The record is from RNAcentral. Lineage: Eukaryota; Fungi; Chytridiomycota; Chytridiomycetes.
AUUCCAGCUCCAAUAGCGUAUAUUAAAGUUGUUGCGGUUAAAAAGCUCGUAGUUGGAGUUCUGCCAGGUGCCGCCUGUCCGCCCCAGUGGUGAGUACGUGGCGCGCAUUUGGCCCUUUCAAGGGGAGCGUAUCUGCACUUUAUUGUGCGAUUGGGAACCAGGACUUUUACUUUGAAAAAAUUAGAGUGUUUAAAGCAGGCUUACGCUUGAAUACAUUAGCAUGGAAUAAUAAAAUAGGACUUUGGUUUUAUUUUGUUGGUUUUCGAAACCAAAGUAAUGAUUAAUAGGGAUAGUUGGGGGCAUUACUAUUAUCGCGUCAGAGGUGAAAUUCUUGGAUUGCGAUAAGAGUAACUACUGCGAAAGCAUUUGCCAAGGGUGUUUUCAUCG